GCCUACGGGAGGCAGCAGUGAGGAAUAUUGGUCAAUGGUCGGGAGACUGAACCAGCCAAGCCGCGUGAGGGAUGAAGGUACAGAGUAUCGUAAACCUCUUCUGUCAGGGAACAAAGGCGGGGACGUGUCCCCGGAUGAGUGUACCUGAAGAAAAAGCAUCGGCUAACUCCGUGCCAGCAGCCGCGGUAAUACGGAGGAUGCGAGCGUUAUCCGGAUUUAUUGGGUUUAAAGGGUGCGCAGGCGGUCUGUUAAGUCAGCGGUCAAAGCCCGGGGCUCAACCCCGGCCCGCCGCUGAAACUGGCAGU
This 305-nucleotide ribosomal RNA is filed under the name uncultured bacterium. Its description in RNAcentral is "bacterial SSU rRNA". It matches the Rfam family "Bacterial small subunit ribosomal RNA", at positions 337 to 640 of the family's 1533-position model. The record is from RNAcentral.